GACGAACGCUGGCGGCGUGCUUAACACAUGCAAGUCGAACGGAAAGGCCCUGCUUUUGUGGGGUGCUCGAGUGGCGAACGGGUGAGUAACACGUGAGUAAUCUGUCCUUAACUUUGGGAUAACUUCAGGAAACUGGGGCUAAUACCGGAUAGGAGCUCCUGCUGCAAAGUGUGGGUUGGAAAGUUUCGGCGGUUUGGGAUGGACUCGCGGUGUAUCCGCUUGUUGGUGGGGUAGUGGUUUACCAAGGCUUUGACGGGUAGCCGGCCUGGCAGGGUGAGCGGCCACAUUCAGACUGAGAUACGGCCCAGACUCCUACGGGAAGCAGCGGUGGGGAAUAUUGCUCAAGGAGCGGAAGCCUGAUGCAGCAACGCCGCGUGCGGGAUAACGGCCUUCGUGUUGUAAUCCGCUUUCGCCUGUGACGAGGCGUGAGUGGCGGUAAUGAGUAAAGAAGCACCGGGCAAAUACGUUC
RNAcentral lists this ribosomal RNA (469 nucleotides) under uncultured bacterium. RNAcentral describes it as "partial 16S ribosomal RNA". It matches the Rfam family "Bacterial small subunit ribosomal RNA", at positions 28 to 508 of the family's 1533-position model. The record is from RNAcentral.